AAAUGUCCUUUCUUUCCCUUGAUGAUUUCAUUGUGCUUACACUUCUUGCCCAGCACCUUUGAUUUAAUUAACUGUCUUUAACUAGACAAGUGCUUUAUGUGUUUACUUGUACCGCUUCCCAAAGAUACCAUUGCCACUUAGUCAACCAAAAAAAAAAAAUCUUACGAAGCUAAGCUUUAAUUCUGGUUAUGAUAAGCAUGAAAUUGAAUGCAAUGGUUUUGGGCAUAUGAACGUACAUUGUUGAACAUAGUCCAGAAGAUCACAUCAUAUUAAAAUCUCCAUCAGAAGAAAUGCUUGUUGCAUCCCUGUCCUCUCAGCCUGCUGUGGGAUGCAAACUGGGGAACGUGUGGGACAUGUGCUUCUGAGCAGGCGCUGCCCAGCGGUGUGACGGGAAAUGGGGAGUUCAGCAAAAUAAGGAGGUCACCCACCUUGAAAUAAUGAUGUCUGGAAGCAAGUAUGUGGGUGCAGUAUCAACAGCACUCCUCAAGUCACAUCUGUGUGUGCUCUUUUGGGAGUGACGAUCUGGUACACAGGCAAAUUCCUCAGAAAGAGAAUGAGUCAAAGGAUGGCUUUGUCCGGGAUGACAAAGCAGCCCGGACAGACCAUCAGUAAUGCAACCACAUCAGAGACCCUGUGGCCACUCCACAGCCACUUGGGUAACUGGCCAAGGAGCCAGAUAUUCCCCAGUCUGGCACCUGUGCCUAGUCUGAUGUGGCAGGGUAAAUGGUGUGUCCCACAUGGCUCUACCAUUUCCCUUCUUGAGUAUUUACACAUAUGCACACACAAAGGCAACCUCUCUCAUCUCAGGAAAGAAGUACAGGCCUGCUCUGGCCCUGGAAAAGAGCACCAAGGACUGGGCGCCAGCCAAGAUGCAGAAACCCUCUGAGAUGUGUGGCCAGUUCUGUUUGCUUUGUUGCCUGUCUGAUGCACCUUCAUCUCCCCUACCACCUGAAGUCAAGAGGCCAUCUUCCCUCCUGGCCUUCUCUUCAGCAGAUUGGCAGGGAUCUUCCCCAUUUUUCGUCUUCUUUGCCCCUUGUGCCCAUGCCCUGUCCAUUCCCCAGAGCUGCUGUGCCAGUCUCACCAGCUGCUUCAUCAUCCUCUGUCUUUGAAACAACUUUGAAACAACUAUUUCUAUGUUUUUUCUGCCAAGCAUGUUGCAAACUCAAGAGAGAGACCAGGAGAGAGGACCUACCUCUGGUCAUUUCACAGAGAUCUCCGGCAAGAUGUAAGAACAACUGCAUUCAAAGUCCUGACAAGCCUGGUCAAUCCAAGAUGGAGCAUGCUCAGUGAAACACAUUUUGGGAUAGGUUUGCUGCCAAAUUUUAACAACUAUUUGCAUUUGUAUUUUUGUUUUUCAGAACUGUAGCCAGAUUUGGGCAGAUUUUCUUGGGCAUAUCGUUCCUGCCCGAUGUUAGUGCAGCCUUCCUGCCAAAUUUCAAGCCUUUGAUACAAAGAUUGGAGGCAAGGUUAGAUCUUUUCAGUGAAGGAGUACAUUUUCACAGAGUAAUCCAAGUUUAUAUAUAAUUCCUGACACAUCUAUUGUGAGUGACCGCUGAUGUUUUCUAAAUCUUUGUUGUUGGAUUCAAACACCAUUUUUUCAUUAAAAUUUUUUUUGAUAUUAAAUUGUGUACGUCUGCAUCUGAAAACAUGUAUUUAUCUCUGUUCGAAUGCUGUUUUUCAGUUCUAAAGGAAACUAAACUUGGUUACAAGUGUUUUAUUCCCUUCCCUGUACAUUUUAAAAGGAAGUACACUCGGUUCUGCCUGCAAUGAGGUAACAGACAUAUAUUGUUACAGACAUAAACACUUUUCAAAUGAGUAUAAAGGAAAGCAUCGCCUUCCACUGUCAAUAUACUGUCGAGACUGAUUGUAUUUUAGUUUGAUGUUUGCCACCUGCAUGUCUCAUAAAAAGCACUAAACACCAAACCAGGAGAGCAAGAAAAACAAAUCCCUGACUUUUUGCCUUGCCAUAAUAGAGCUGGAGUUAUUUCAGGAACAAGCUGGACUGGUUUUCCCUGGGACUCAAAAAUAUAUGAGAGACCAUGGUUUCCAAAAAAGAAUCAAAAGAAAUGAAAAGACAGCACUGGAAGAGAAAGACCGUUCUCAGAUGCUUGGUUGUUUUGCGCUGGGUUACGCUUGCCUGGACCAUGGGAAUAUGCAGUUCCACCGACAACAACAGCUCUUCCUGUGGUUACUGAUAAAUCCACACCUCCCAGGGAGAAAAAAAGCAGUGGAGACUGAGCAAAAUGGAUUCUUGAGAACAAUAUCUUUGUUAGGGAAACACAAUAUAAUAAAGCAUAGCAUUCCUAUCA
Long non-coding RNA from Apteryx owenii (little spotted kiwi), 2309 nucleotides. The record is from Ensembl. Lineage: Eukaryota; Metazoa; Chordata; Aves; Apterygiformes; Apterygidae.